AGGGGAGUGAAAUAGAACCUGAAACCGUGUGCUUACAAGUAGUCAGAGCACGUUAAUGGGUGAUGGCGUGCCUGUUGUAGAAUGAACCGGCGAGUUACGAUUUGAUGCAAGGUUAAGCAGUAAAUGUGGAGCCGUAGCGAAAGCGAGUCUGUAUAGGGCGUUUAGUAUUUGGUCGUAGACCCGAUACCAGGUGAUCUACCCUUGGUCAGGUUGAAGUUCAUGUAACACUGAAUGGAGGACCGAACCGACUUACGUUGAAAAGUGAGCGGAUGAAAUGAGUGUAGCGGAGAAAUUCCAAUCGAAACUGGAGAUAUCUGGUUCUCUCCGAAAUAUCUUUAGGGCUAGCCUCAAGUGAUGAUUAUU
This 363-nucleotide ribosomal RNA is filed under the name Staphylococcus aureus. RNAcentral describes it as "partial 23S ribosomal RNA". It matches the Rfam family "Bacterial large subunit ribosomal RNA", at positions 532 to 897 of the family's 2925-position model. The record is from RNAcentral. Lineage: Bacteria; Bacillati; Bacillota; Bacilli; Caryophanales; Staphylococcaceae.